GCUCUUUUAGAGUCCGAGUUGUAAUUUGCAGAGGGCGCUUUGGCUUUGGCAGCGGUCCAAGUUCCUUGGAACAGGACGUCACAGAGGGUGAGAAUCCCGUACGUGGUCGCUGGCUAUUGCCGUGUAAAGCCCCUUCNNCGAGUCGAGUUGUUUGGGAAUGCAGCUCUAAAUGGGAGGUACAUUUCUUCUAAAGCUAAAUAUUGGCCAGAGACCGAUAGCGCACAAGUAGAGUGAUCGAAAGAUGAAAAGCACUUUGGAAAGAGAGUCAAACAGCACGUGAAAUUGUUGAAAGGGAAGCGCUUGCAGCCAGACUUGCUUGCAGUUGCUCAUCCGGGCUUUUGCCCGGUGCACUCUUCUGCAGGCAGGCCAGCAUCAGUUUGGGCGGUAGGAUAAAGGUCUCUGUCACGUACCUCUCUUCGGGGAGGCCUUAUAGGGGAGGCGACAUACUACCAGCCUGGACUGAGGUCCGCGCAUCUGCUAGGAUGCUGGCGUAAUGGCUGUAAGCGGCCCGUCUUGAAACACGGACCAAGGAGUCUAACAUCUAUGCGAGUGUUUGGGUGUCAAGCCCGAGCGCGUAAUGAAAGUGAACGGAGGUAGGAACCCGCAAGGGUGCACUAUCGACCGAUCCUGAUGUCUUCGGAAGGAUUUGAGUAAGAGCAUGGCUGUUGGGACCCGAAAGAUGGUGAACUAUGCUUGAAUAGGGUGAAGCCAGAGGAAACUCUGGUGGAGGCUCGCAGCGGUUCUGACGUGCAAAUCGAUCGUCAAAUUUGGGCAUANGGGCGAAAGACUAAUCGAACUAUCUAGUAGCUGGUUCCUGCCGAAGUUUCCCUCAGGAUAGCAGUAACGUAUUCAGUUUUAUGAGGUAAAGCGAAUGAUUAGAGGCCUGGGGGCUGAAACAGCCUUCACCUAUUCUCAAACUUUAA
This 923-nucleotide ribosomal RNA is filed under the name Pleosporaceae sp. DIS 355a. Its description in RNAcentral is "LSU rRNA". It matches the Rfam family "Eukaryotic large subunit ribosomal RNA", at positions 125 to 1068 of the family's 3401-position model. The record is from RNAcentral. Lineage: Eukaryota; Fungi; Ascomycota; Dothideomycetes; Pleosporales; Pleosporaceae.